CACGUAGGGUGCGAGCGUUGUCCGGAAUUAUUGGGCGUAAAGAGCUCGUAGGCGGUGUGUCACGUCGGCCGUGAAAACCUGCAGCUUAACUGUGGGCGUGCGGUCGAUACGGGCAUCACUGGAGUUCGGCAGGGGAGACUGGAAUUCCUGGUGUAGCGGUGAAAUGCGCAGAUAUCAGGAGGAACACCGGUGGCGAAGGCGGGUCUCUGGGCCGAUACUGACGCUGAGGAGCGAAAGCGUGGGGAGCGAACAGG
RNAcentral lists this ribosomal RNA (254 nucleotides) under uncultured bacterium. Its description in RNAcentral is "partial 16S ribosomal RNA". It matches the Rfam family "Bacterial small subunit ribosomal RNA", at positions 524 to 776 of the family's 1533-position model. The record is from RNAcentral.